RNAcentral lists this long non-coding RNA (1462 nucleotides) under Mus musculus (house mouse). RNAcentral describes it as "predicted gene, 46458 (Gm46458)". The record is from RNAcentral. Lineage: Eukaryota; Metazoa; Chordata; Mammalia; Rodentia; Muridae.
GUGUCUGAGUAAGUAAGCCAGGAAGAGCAGAAGGCAUCUUUGACUAGGCUCUGCCCUCUGGUAAGUUAGGCAGUGUCUAUUUCUCACUACGACCCCAGCCCAUGGCGCAGGAAAGGCUCCACUGUGUUUGCACUAUACAACUGAAUGGCGGAGGAGCCAGUGUUUUACUCUUUGCCCACGGUCCAUAGAUAAGGACUCAUUAAAUCCGAAUAACCCAGGGACCAGGGAAGCAGGGUUCAGUACAGGCUGGAGUGCAAGGAAAACUAAGACAGAGAAGAAUCUCAAUAUUCACCAAUCCAGGCCGGACAUGCCCAGGCUCCAGCCUGCUUGCCAUGUGGCCUUCUGCAAGGCAGACCCAAGUUUAGCUUCCCUGUGGUAAAUGCGUUCUCUAACAGAAGCCAGAGGGGUGUGAUGAAGCCUCUGAAGUCCUCGGUACCACAGCAUGCAGCCCUGUAAGGUGGCUGCUAGGGUUUUACAGAUUGAGUUGGAGUGGGGGGCCGUGGCUAUGAAUUAAACAGCCUGAAGCAGAUACCCUGCCUGUGAGUCCUGCUGGCGACUCUGAGUGACCUCUGAUCAAAGUUAAGGUACAAACUCAGGAGGCCCUCUGUGACUGUGUUCUGAUGAAGACUGGUCCCUCUAGCUGGACAGUGGUGGCGCAUCCCUUUAAUCCCGGCACGCAGGAGGCAGAGGCAGGCAGAUCUCUGAGUUUGAGGCCAGCCUGGACUACAGAGCAAGUUUCAGGACAGCCAGAGCUACGCAGAGAAACCCUGAUUUUCACAGACAAACAAACCAGGCUUGGUGUAGAUCUCCAGUCCCAGCUACUCAGAAGCCUGGGGCAGAAGAACUGACAGCUCAAGGCUUUCUUGUUUUAUUCAGAUUGUUCAAAGCCAACUGGACAACUUGGUCAAUGAAACAAGAACAGCAAGAAAACUGGGGAGGUAGCUCAGGGGUAGAGCCCUUGCCUAGCCAGAGGCAAGUUCAGGCCCUGAUCUGGGCACAGCCUUCUAUGACCUCUGCUCUACUCUGACUACUAUAAGAUGAACGGAUUUUAGAUUCCACGUGAGAGUGAGUGACAGGAUGUGGAUUCUGUUUCUCUGCCUGGCUAAUUUCACUAAACAUAAAGCCCUCGAUUUCUCAUCGUGUUGCAGCUAAUGUCAGGCUUCCAUGUUUCUAUGACUGCAGAGCCUUCCUGUGUAUUUGAGUUCCACUCCUUUAUCCAUUCACCUGGCAGUGGGCCUCAUCAUGCCAGCACCACUAUGAAUAGUGUCAAGGCCAGUAUACUUUAAAAAAAAUAAAUGUCACUAGUUUCUAUAGGACCGUCUUUGUAGGUAUCAGGGACCAUUUAUCAUAAAUGGAGGUCUUUAUGACUUUUUUCUACUCUUUCUUGAGUAAAACUAUUUCUCCUCAAGAAACAAGCAACUGGGGAAGGGAAAUCUUUUAUUAAAUAUUUUGCUCUAUUUCA